Daucus carota subsp. sativus is the source of this 4639-nucleotide long non-coding RNA. RefSeq lists it as uncharacterized. The transcript is spliced from 7 exons. NCBI's taxonomy places the organism in Eukaryota, Viridiplantae, Streptophyta, Magnoliopsida, Apiales, Apiaceae. The record is from RefSeq and is a predicted model, not a curated record.
UUCUGCGAUAUUGUGGCAAUAUCCUGUAACAAUAUUCAAAGCCAGCUAACAGUAGAUCAUCUUAUAACUUUGGUCAACUAUAACAUGAUUGAUAAUUAAGUUAUGUUGAGUAUAAGAUUGUUAUGCAAUACAUUUUUGGAAGACCAAUUGCAUAUUCAAGAAUACCAGUUUGGCCUUGUACACAUUUAAUGUAUUUCAUUUAACAACCACUUAGUCAUUUAUUUUGUGAAUUCACAAAUAAAAUAUAUCUUUUGAGCACAAAACGUCGUGGAUGAUUAAUAGUUCGUUCUUCCCCUUAAUUCUUCCAUGGUAGAUACUAGAUAUGUAUUCCAGUAUUUUAUAUAGGCACAUUGUUACUUCACUGAUUAUUCUCUUGCUAAUCUAUCUAUUAUCUAUUAUAUAUAUAAUGCUGCAACAUGAGUUUUCGUGAGCCAAUUAAAUCAUGUGAAAUUACGAUCUUACUCCUUAUUUAUUUAUCUUAUUUACCUAAAUCGCUUGACCCCUGCAACCCUUCCUCUUCUCGUACCAUUCACUCUGCACAAUAUAGUUCGUGAACCAUUUCUGAAUGGCGAUCAACCACUAUUGUGCUUUGCGGACUCAAAAAUUAAAUCCUUCUCGCUAGCGAUCGGCGUGGUGAAAGAUAUUUAAUUUUCAUUUUUAGGAAGCAAGACUGUAUAUGAAUUGUGAAAUUUUAUACUGGCUUGAUUGUGAAAUAUUAUCUGAGUUCUUGGUCUUGAGAUGCCUGCUUGUAUUUUUCAACACCUUUUCUUUCUUGGGGUUGUAAAUUUGUCAUCUUGUUUUGCUUUUAUUUUACUAGAUAUCACUAUGAUGCUUUGUGUUUCGGAUUAUUGAUGAUUAUGUUACGAUGUGAGCCAGAGUACUCUUCAUUUUCUCAUUGUUAUGCUCACUCUGUAUCCUUUUUUCAUGCUUCUAUACGUUUAUCCUUUACCUAUAUGUUUAUUCUAUUGGCUUUAUUUUGAUUUAAAGCUUUGUAUGCUAUAAGACGUAUGCCAAUUACUUUAUUUUUCUCUAAAAAGUUGUUUAUAUAUUGACACUGUAGCUGGUUCCAUUAAAAAUGUCCUUCAAUAGCUUGAAAUGUCAGUAUGCUAUGACUCAAUUAGUCGUCUGCUAUUUAUAAUUGCUACACCUCUUCCAUGUCUCUAACGCCAAUAAACCUAUAUCUCGACUCUCCGGAUAACAGAUCAGCAUAUCCCCGCCAGUGCUUCAGAGUUCAGAUGCUCUAUGCCAGUCAAGGGGAUUAUUUAUUUUUAUUUUUUAAUGAUUUGGAAUCGACACUAUUUGGUACCUUCUGUAAAACUCUCUACUUACACGAUUAUUAUGUGAUUUGCUGUUUGGUGCCUUUUUUUAUCAAUAGAUAUUGGUAAAUUUAUGAGAAAAAGUAUUGUAACUUGUGUGAAUAAAAUUUUCGUGCACCAUAGUUAUUAAUGUGUUAUGUUAUUAGCGAUAAUUUGUAAUAGAUUGCUAAAUUACAGGGAGUCAUUCCUGGAGAGCUUUCAAAAUUAAGAAACCUUCAAACACUUAUACUUGUUAAAAAAAUGUUUCACAGUAGGCUUCCAAAUGAGCUCGGCUUGUUUUCCCUUUUGGCUGUUUUAAGUGUUAGGAAAAACAGGCUAUAUGCAACUCCUCCAGAAUUUUUAGGUCAUUUAGAAAACCUUAGAGUUCUUUUUUUUUUUUUUGUCAUAAAAAUAUCUUAGAGUUCUUGAUUUGUCUAAUAACAAGUUAAUUGGUGAAGUGCCUGAUAUAAGCCUCUUGAGGCACUUGCAGUUCCUGGAUUUGGAAGAUAAUCUUCUUAGACCUCAGUUUGUGAAAAUUAGAAGCAAGAACUUAGUUACUCUUAUACCAGGGAAGAAGAAGUUUGACUCUGGCAUUCUAGAAAGGGUGCACUCUUUUAAUCAUCUCCAGCUGCUUUAUAUAGCGUUCAACAGCUUUGUUGGACCAUUUACGUCUUCUUUGCUCUCUCUGCCAUCGAUUAAUUAUCUCAAUAUUAAAGGAAACAAGUUCACUGGAAUGCUUUCAGAAAACAUGUCUUGCAGUCAACCUGAACUGGUGGAUUUAACUGGAAAUUUUUUGAACGGAAGAUUGCCUAGCUGCCUUCGUUAUGACCCCCGAGUCAGGGUUUUGUGUCUCAAUAUUAAAGGAACAAGUUCACUGGAAUGCUUUCAGAAAACAUAUCUUGCAGUCCCCAACUUGAAAUGGUGGAUUUAACUGGAAAUUUUUUGAACGGUAGAUUGCCUAGCUGCCUUCGUUAUGACCCCCGAGUCAGGGUUUUGUCUUAUGCUAUAAAUUGUUUAGUUGGUGAGGAUAAAUGCCAGCAUCCAGUGUCCUUUUGUCGAAAUGAAACUCUGGCUGUAGGAAUAAUACCACAUCGUAACAAGUCAAAACAAGCAUCCAUUCAUGUACUUGCCAUAAGCAUAUCUGCAGGGAUUGUUGAAUUAGUUGUAUUGGUUGCUAUAAUCUUGUUGACCAAUGAGAAGAGUACAUACAUAAAGGAUGGUAAAAUCACCUCCGACAAGAUUACCACAAGAGAAUGCAUCAACAGGCUACCCUUAAAAAUGCUUCAAGAUGCAAAACUCCUUGUCAGUUACAGAGACAUAACUUCGAAGGGGAAAAUUAAUGUUACCUGUCAUUUCUACAAGGGGCAUAACUCAAGCAAUGAAGCUAGGAGCACUUAGUGCUCCAGCUUAUCGAGCCUUUUCACUGAAAUACAUUGAGGAUGCAACUAAUAAUUUUGAUACAUCAACUUUUGUCCAUGAAGGAUCUUACAGUCAGGUGCGUGUGAUUGCAAAUGUCAUAUAGAAGCAUUAUAGGGUUUUUUAAGUAUAAAAUGGACUUGCAAAAACUAUUAUCUUUACGAUGAUUUUUCUAUAAAGCCUAUGCAAAGUGAUAAUGUAAUAGUGCAUUUACACUAUCCUUGUUCUAUGAAGUAUGAAUAAUUUAUGAUUGCAGAUGUAUAUAUGGAAGCUGAAGGAUGGUUCCUUGAUUGUCAUUAGGUGCCUUAAAAUAAAUAAAAAAACAAGAAUCAUAGCUUUAUGAACACUAUCGCAAUUAUAUCAAAACUAAGACAUCAACAUUUGGUCAGUGCUCUUGGGCACUGCUUUGAUUAUUGAUUAGAUGACUCCAGUCUCAGCAGAAAUUUUUUUGUAUUUGAAUAUGUGCAAAAUGGGACGCUAAGGGACUAGAUAUCUGGUACGUACUUGUGCUAUACAUUAUAGAGUUAUGAAAAAUUUAAAACAGCAUAUACCAUAAAAUAGUAAUUUUUUUAUAAAAUUAAAAAAAAAAAAAUAAAUUUUACGAGUUGUCCGCGUGCACACUUAAUAAAAAAAUUAAAUAAAUUUCCCCCUUAAUCAAUUUCACAACUCCCGCUUUGUAACAUUUUCUUAAAAUAAAACAUUAAGUUUAACAAGUUUAAAACAUAAACAUUAGACAAAAAACAUCAAAACAUAUAAGCUGCCGUCUUGUUUGAGAACCCUAGCCCCUUUCUUUCUCAUUCUUCGAUUUGUUCAUACAAGCUCUGAUGCGAUCAUUCUGGUUGAGUAAAAGCUCAUACAAGCUCCUAUGGUCAAUUAGAAGGUCAUACAAGCUCCGAUUUGUUUCCUUUAGAGUUUCGAUUGUUCGAUUUGCUGGUACAAACUCAUAAAACCUCCAGUUUUCUCAGGUGGGUCUAUUUUUUCGAUGGGGUCAUGUGGGUGUAAGAGGGUCAAGUGGGUUUUGACCGGACUUUAAAACUUGAAGUUCAAGUGGGUUUCAAUUGGAGUUUGGAGUUUUUGUUUGUGAUUGGAGUUUGGGUGUUUGGGUUUUGGUUAGUAGCGAGGUAACCAAAGUGAGGCUAUAAAGGAGGAGCUGUCUUCUUUAGAAUUGCGGCCAGAAGAAGAGCUUGAUGCACACAAUAUUGCUGCCAAGAUGGUUACCAGACUUGUAAAAGAAGAUCACCGGUGAUUGCACUGAAGGUGGCAUUCUCACUGCUUGAUAUGGGUACAUACGGGGGCAUGAAGGGAAAAGUAUAUGUAGCUCGUACAUUCAUGAGGUAUAAAAACUAAUUUAUUAUUUCUUUUUAUCAUAUAUAUUUGUUGAUGCUUCUCCCAUCAGCUUUGAUUAGAUACAGAACCUAACUAGAUGGGGAGGUGCACUACAAUUAUGUUGCGAUUCUCUAUAUUUGCUACCCAUCCAUAGUAGAAUAAGGGAUGCGUCUACGGAAAAUGGCUACUAAAAUUAGUGUAGGAGUUGAUGUUUGCAUGGUUAAUGAAAGAGGCUUCUAUUUCAACCCGGCGGAAGUUCAGAAACCUCUUUAUGCUAAUAGGACUAAUUUAAGUAUGAAUGGGUCACGUGCAAAAGUCUAUUAAACUACACUUAUGCAGAUGAAUAUAUAGAAUGCAGCUUUUAGUCACUUUAAAACGAGGAGGAUGGGAAUGCAGCUGCCCAACAUAGUGAUGAAUGAAGAUUUUUAGUCAAUUUUUAUUUUUACUUCUUCAUCUAUUCUUGCUUUUAGAUUGACUUUUGUAAGGAUGGUUUAUAAAUUGGUACAUUAGUCCGGUUUCCAUGUAUCUUUCAACUUGAUGACUCGGUUUGUACAUUGUAUUUUUUUUUUUGGUUAAUUUCAAGUCAAGAAAAUUUCAGAGUA